AUUCAUUUUCAAAUAUUUGCUGACUAAAUGAUACACACGUGAUUAAAUUUAAUCCUGACAGAG
This 63-nucleotide small nucleolar RNA is filed under the name Pongo abelii (Sumatran orangutan). Lineage: Eukaryota; Metazoa; Chordata; Mammalia; Primates; Hominidae. The record is from RNAcentral.